RNAcentral lists this non-coding RNA (29 nucleotides) under Mus musculus (house mouse). The record is from RNAcentral. Lineage: Eukaryota; Metazoa; Chordata; Mammalia; Rodentia; Muridae.
UGACUUGCGUUUGCCUCCAUUACCUUUGG